CUCUGCUGUAAGUAGAGUCAGCAGUGUUCAGUAUCGGACUGUCACUGUCAGACUUUCCUCCUUUCCUUGGUUCUGAUCUGUAGCUCAUUGUUUCAUUACCCUGCUGAAAAACCUACAAACUAUUACUCACCAAAAACACAGGGAAGUUCAAGAGGAAUACAUUGGACUCCAGAAGUAAGACAAGAGAUCAGAUGUGAGAAUAUGACAUCCAGAAGAAGCUCCAGAACUCACAAAACAUCCUCUUAUACUCCUACACACUGAUGUGUCUCACAUACAAGUGGAAGAAAAUGCAGACAAAGGGAAAAUCGCUGUUGUCUGCACUUUGGGAAGAGUUUUAGUCAACAGGGUAAUUUCACAAUACCUCAGCGCAUUGAUGCUGGAGAGAAACCGUAUCAGUGCUCAGAGUGUGGAAAGAGUUUUUCUCAACAGAUUCACCUCCAGCUACACCAACGUGUUCACACAGGAGAAAAAACAUAUCUCUGUUUAGAGUGCGGGAAGAGAUUUGCUCAAAAAGGUAAUCUCCAUCUACAUCAGCACAUUCACACAGGAGAGAAACCCUAUCAGUGCCUAGGGAUUUGGAAUGAGAUGUCAUAAAAGCUCCUGUAGAUGUCCCAAUACUUUUGUCCAUAUAGUGUAUUUAUGUUUAAAGCAGUUCUGGCUUGAUUAUGCCAGGAAACUAGUUCAUUUAAGGAAUUCAUUUUCACACAUUUAGGAAAGAAAGCUUAUGAUGGAAAGUCUAGACUUUGUGAAAUGCAGUUUAAAGGACUCACAGCAUGAGGAAAAUGUUUUCUGGUCUGAUGAGACUCAGAUUCAGAUUCCAAAAAUUGAGCUGCAUUCUAAGCGCUAGGUUUUUCAUGAUGGCUACAUCAUUCUCUAUGGGUGGUUUCAGAUGCAGAUAUUGGGAUACUGGACAGAAUUUAGAGAUGGUGAAUGCAGCCAAAUACAGAAAGGUUCUUGAAGAGGAAGGUUCUUCAGGAGAGUACAUACAACCUUGGACUGUGUCAUUAGUUCACUUUUCAGCAUGACAUCAGACCAGAGCAAGCAGCCAAAUGACUAAACAGCUACUGGAAAAGUGAGAAGUCUGAACUUCUGCAGAAGGGAGUUUACAGAUAGUCCGAAUCAAAUGUAACAGAGCCCGAGACUCUAGCACACUAAGUAAAAAACAUAAAUAAAAUUCUAAGGUAUAGUAAAAGGUCUUAGCUGGGAUUCAUCUUUAAAAUCUAUACAAAUAUCUGGAUAUUUUUAAUAUGUUUAAGGGAACCUUAGAAUUCAUUAGCUAAAAGUGAGGGCAGGAUUGACCUCAAUUUUAUAUAAUUUUAUUUAAAAUAAAAUCCAAAUAUUUAUUUAUUUCAUUAUUUUUUUGUACACAUUAAUUGUAGUGUUUUUCUGUCAGUUUCUAAACAUAAAAUGUAUACGCAAAAGUUGUUGGACAUUUUGUAUUUUGUUUCAAAAUGUGUUUAACUUGGCCAAUAAAUAGAAAUUGUGAUAGUUGUGAUAUAAACAUGUUUCUUAAUUCUUCACUUAGAUAAUCAAAAAAACACAUAAUAUGUCUGGGGUUGCUAAAACAUUUGAAUACAACUCUUGCUAUCCAAGUAAGUUAAAAUCUUGAGAUGAGUGAAACAUUCUCAGUAUUUGAACUAACACAAUUUUGAGAAAGUCUUUAUUUUGAGAUAUAGGUUCAAGCUUUUUACAUUUUUGACAUGUUAUAAACCUAUUAUUUAGCUGCCACAAUAUUUGAGUUAUAUUUAAAUUCAUGGGAUGACUUAGUAGAUGUCCAAGAAACCAAAAAUUGACCAUUAAUUAAAGGCAAAUCUCUUGACCACAUUGAGACACAAUGUCACCAAGAUUGAAAUUUUGACAAGAUGAAUAAGCCUAGCAUAACACAGAUGGGGAAUUAUUAAUUAUUUACAAAAAGACAUCUUUGAUUUAAUGUAUCUUCUCUUCAAAUGUAUUGGUUGUAAUGUUCAUUUAUAUUCUCCUUUUUAAAAUUGAAUUAUCUCUGUAUUUUCUCAUUUGUAAAGCACACUGAGUGGCCACAGCAUAUGAAACAUGCUCUAUAAAUAAACUUGCCUAAGUAUUAA
This is a long non-coding RNA of Pygocentrus nattereri (red-bellied piranha), 2081 nucleotides long. RefSeq lists it as uncharacterized. The transcript has 2 exons. The record is from RefSeq and is a predicted model, not a curated record. NCBI's taxonomy places the organism in Eukaryota, Metazoa, Chordata, Actinopteri, Characiformes, Serrasalmidae.